CCUACGGGCGGCAGCAGUGGGGAAUAUUGGGCAAUGGGCGCAAGCCUGACCCAGCAACGCCGCGUGAAGGAAGAAGGCCCUCGGGUGGUAAACUUCUUUUAUCAAGGACGAAAAAAAUGACGGUACGUGAUGAAUAAGCCACGGCUAACUACGUGCCAGCAGCAGCGGUAAUACGUAGGUGGCAAGCGUUAUGCGGAUUUAGUGGGUUUAAAGGGUGCGCAGGCGGAUUUUUAAGUCAGCGGUCAAGUCGUGGGGCGCAACCCCAUCCAGCCGUUGAUACUGGGGUUCUAGGGUGUGCGAGAGGUAUGAGGAAUGUGUGGUGUAGCGGUGAAAUGCAUAGAUAUCACGCAGAACCCCGAUUGCGAAGGCAGCAUACCGGUGCACAACUGACGCUCAUGCACGAAAGCGUGGGUAUCGAACAGGAUUAGAUACCCCUGUAGUC
RNAcentral lists this ribosomal RNA (442 nucleotides) under uncultured bacterium. RNAcentral's name for it is "partial 16S ribosomal RNA". It matches the Rfam family "Bacterial small subunit ribosomal RNA", at positions 338 to 795 of the family's 1533-position model. The record is from RNAcentral.